Molecule: ribosomal RNA, 499 nt
Filed under: uncultured bacterium
Lineage: Bacteria
Description: partial 16S ribosomal RNA
Rfam family: Bacterial small subunit ribosomal RNA
Source: RNAcentral
GAUGAACGCUGGCGGCGUGCCUAAUACAUGCAAGUCGAGCGAACAGACGAGAGUGCUUGCACUCUCUGACGUUAGCGGCGGACGGGUGAGUAACACGUGGGUAACCUACCUAUAAGACUGGGAUAACUUCGGGAAACCGGAGCUAAUACCGGAUAAUAUUUAGCUUCGCAUGAAGCAAUAGUGAAAGACGGUUCUGCUGUCACUUAUAGAUGGACCCGCGGUGUAUUAGCUAGUUGGUGAGAUAACGGCUCACCAAGGCAACGAUACAUAGCCGACCUGAGAGGGUGAUCGGCCACACUGGAACUGAGACACGGCCCAGACUCCUACGGGAGGCAGCAGUAGGGAAUCUUCCGCAAUGGGCGAAAGUCUGACGGAGCAAUGCCGCGUGAGUGAAGAAGGUUUUCGGAUCGUAAAACUCUGUUGUAAGGGAAGAACAAGUACGUUAGUAACUGAACGUACCUUGACGGUACCUUACCAGAAAGCCACGGCUAACUACGUG